RNAcentral lists this ribosomal RNA (466 nucleotides) under uncultured bacterium. RNAcentral describes it as "bacterial SSU rRNA". It matches the Rfam family "Bacterial small subunit ribosomal RNA", at positions 58 to 521 of the family's 1533-position model. The record is from RNAcentral.
CAAGUCGAACGGCAGCGCGGGGCAACCUGGCGGCGAGUGGCGAACGGGUGAGUAAUAUAUCGGAACGUACCCUGGAGUGGGGGAUAACGUAGCGAAAGUUACGCUAAUACCGCAUACGAUCUAAGGAUGAAAGUGGGGGAUCGCAAGACCUCAUGCUCCUGGAGCGGCCGAUAUCUGAUUAGCUAGUUGGUGGGGUAAAGGCCUACCAAGGCGACGAUCUGUAGCUGGUCUGAGAGGACGACCAGCCACACUGGGACUGAGACACGGCCCAGACUCCUACGGGAGGCAGCAGUGGGGAAUUUUGGACAAUGGGCGAAAGCCUGAUCCAGCAAUGCCGCGUGUGUGAAGAAGGCCUUCGGGUUGUAAAGCACUUUUGUCCGGAAAGAAAACCGCCGGGUUAAUACCCUGGCGGGAUGACGGUACCGGAAGAAUAAGCACCGGCUAACUACGUGCCAGCAGCCGCGGU